CACAAACGUCGCCACGGCGACGCGGUGACAGCGUGGCCAGUGCUGGCCGCCGCCCAUGAUGACGCUGGCACCAGCAGCCUGCUGCCCACCCCGGGUGGCAGUGCUGGCACCUCUCUGUUUCCUCUCUCUUCUCUUCUUUGCUCUCCAUGUUAUGUGACUCGUUUUUCUUUCGUAGCCGUUGCCUGAAUUGAUCUUCAAGUUGUUGACACAGAAACAACUCCUGUUCCAAAGGACUCUACACGUAACGUUGAAGACCUGUUGCCAGAAGUUCAGAAGAAAGCCGGAGAGGAUUUCUGACCAAAGCACAGAGCAAGCGGCAUGGAGGAAUUGAAUCGCCACGGCCCAAAGUGAAAGAAGAGGGAUGGUCGUUUGAUGGAGAGUGCUUUUGUUACGGCCUGCAGAGCCUUUGUGCGUAAACGUGGGAGGAUACAGGACAGGAGACCCGGAACGUCCGUGCCGUGAGAGACCGGCCGGUCCUCCUGCAGUCCUCUCACACCUGCAGGGUCAGAACAGGUGAACAGACUGAGACGGCUGUUGGUGUGCAGUCCCUGACAGGAGCAGCGGAAGAGCCUUAAGGAAGCGGGGCUCUCCCAGAAGAGAGAGGCACGCAAACACUGCUGCUGUAAAGCUCCUGGAGGGCCGUCCGCAGGCUGCGCUCCUCCUCGUCCUCGUCGUCGUCGUCCUCGUCCUCGUCGUCGUCCUGCUGCUGCUGCUGCUGCUCCUCCUCGUCCUCGUGCCGCCUGUUUGCAAGCCAAGGACACGUGAAAGGAACGUCAGCGGGACUGAGGCGGAGCUGCACCCAGCCUGUGGUGGGCGACCCAAUAAAAGCCAA
This 832-nucleotide long non-coding RNA is filed under the name Gallus gallus (chicken). RNAcentral's name for it is "lncRNA (ENSGALG00010000560.1)". Lineage: Eukaryota; Metazoa; Chordata; Aves; Galliformes; Phasianidae. The record is from RNAcentral.